This 253-nucleotide ribosomal RNA is filed under the name uncultured bacterium. RNAcentral's name for it is "partial 16S ribosomal RNA". It matches the Rfam family "Bacterial small subunit ribosomal RNA", at positions 524 to 776 of the family's 1533-position model. The record is from RNAcentral.
UACGUAGGGCGCAAGCGUUAUCCGGAAUCAUUGGGCGUAAAGAGCGUGUAGGCGGCCACUUAAGUCCUGCGUGAAAUCUUGCGGCUCAACCGCAAGCGGUCGUGGGAAACUGGGUGGCUAGAGUGCGGGAGAGGAGAGUGGAAUUCCUGGUGUAGCGGUGGAAUGCGCAGAUAUCAGGAAGAACACCCGUGGCGAAGGCGGCUCUCUGGAACGCAACUGACGCUGAGACGCGAAAGCGUGGGGAGCAAACAGG